ACAACAUGGAAAUAGGUUUUGAUCAAGGACACAUGUAAUACCCAGUGGAAUUGCGCAUCAGCUACAGGAAGGGUGAAGGGAAGGAAGGGAGGGACUUCCCACAGAGUGUACACACACAUGCUGGGGUAGGAAGAAGUGAAACACAGGCCUAAUGAAUGGGCAGCUCACCCCUUUUUCUUGGUUGCCUUUGAGAUUUGAACUGGACUUUCUUCCUCUCCAUCUAGUAGACUGGGAGCUCCUGAGCGAAGCCAGGACAGGCAUGGCAGAAAGCAGGGCACAAGUCAGGUGUGGGCUGCACUCACUGCUCUAG
Molecule: long non-coding RNA, 310 nt
Filed under: Monodelphis domestica (gray short-tailed opossum)
Lineage: Eukaryota; Metazoa; Chordata; Mammalia; Didelphimorphia; Didelphidae
Description: lncRNA (ENSMODG00000044979.1)
Source: RNAcentral